CAGCCGCCGCGGUAAUACGUAGGUCCCGAGCGUUGCCCGGAUUUAUUGGGCGUAAAGCGAGCGCAUGCGGUUAGAUAAGUCUGAAGUUAAAGGCUGUGGCUUAACCAUAGUACGCUUUGGAAACUGUUUAACUUGAGUGCAAGAGGGGAGAGUGGAAUUCCAUGUGUAGCGGUGAAAUGCGUAGAUAUAUGGAGGAACACCGGUGGCGAAAGCGGCUCUCUGGCUUGUAACUGACGCUGAGGCUCGAAAGCGUGGGGAGCAAACAGGAUUAGAUACCCGCGUAGUCCCUGUCUCUUAUACA
Molecule: ribosomal RNA, 301 nt
Filed under: uncultured bacterium
Lineage: Bacteria
Description: partial 16S ribosomal RNA
Rfam family: Bacterial small subunit ribosomal RNA
Source: RNAcentral